Long non-coding RNA from Neofelis nebulosa (Clouded leopard), 1143 nucleotides. RefSeq lists it as uncharacterized. The record is from RefSeq and is a predicted model, not a curated record. The transcript has 4 exons. Lineage: Eukaryota; Metazoa; Chordata; Mammalia; Carnivora; Felidae.
GGCUGCUAUUAUAACAUGUCCAUGUACUUCAUGAGGAUGUAAUCUCAGCCAGGUUAAUGACUUCUCUAAGUCCCAAAGUAAACACAUAGGAAGUAUCCCUAAUGUGCCAGGCAUGGUCCUGCGUGUUAGGGUUGUAGAGAUGAGGAGAACAGAUGUGCUUCCUGCCCUCACAGAGUCUACAAUCCAGUGGGGAAGAGAGAUACUGAGCAGGGGCCAUGAUUGAUAUGGAGAGAACAGCUUGUGUGUAGGGGAGAUGUGUAUUUCACGAAGACUGUUCAACAUGAAAUUUACAGUCCCAUAAAGUGCUUCUACAUCUUCGCCAGAGAUCUAGUUAAAAGGACUUUACAGUCUGAAACAUCCUAAAAUUGAUUCUAAAUUAACGUUUCCUCACAUGUAUUUGAGAUAUUGAUGGGGCCCAGCUAUCAGAAUUUUAUUAGGAAGCAAUAAUCUGAGGCACACUGAGACAGACAUACAUACACACCAACCUCCACUACUCCCCAGAGGACACUGGAUAUGCGCUCUCAGGAAGGGCGUCCACGUAGCCUCAGGGAUGGAGACAACCACGAAAUCCUGUCAGCCUUAACAGCCAGGAAAGGAAAACCCACAAAUGGCAGCUUUAAAGGUCACAGCGAUUCAGGUGUCCAUCAGUGAGUAUGUGGGGCAGGCCCAUCACGUGGCACUGUGUGAGGCGCUGUGGGACAUGCGGGGAUGAAUACAGCACUGCCAGGGCCCUUGAGGAGCCCCAGAUCUUGUGACAGUGGAAGAACAUGAGACUUGGAGUCAGACUGGGAGCCAAGGAGAGAGGCCUCAGGAGAAACCAGUCCUGCAACCCCUUGAUCUCAGACACCUUGACCAGAACCUCCAGACUGUGAGAUAACCAAUAUCCAUUGUUUAAGCCACCCAACCUAUUGUGCUUUGUGAUGGCAGCCCCAGCAAACUCCUACAUCACCCUCACUUAAUUUAUCUGUUUUAGGCAGUAUUUAUUUCUUACUCUGACAGUUGAGGAAUUAGCUUUCUCGUACCAUGCUAACUUCCAUUUUUUCUUCUCCCCUUAUCCUCAUAAUAUAGUUUUCCACAAUUUAUAGUUAAAUCAAUAGUUAGUGUUUACAUUAUUGAUGAGGUAAAUAAAUACUGUCCACUCAA